GGGGGGAGGCUGGAUCCUGGGCUGUGUCCCGGCGCCCAGUGCUUCUGGGCCUGCGCUGUUGGAUUAGUGCUUCCGGGCCGCAGCCCCCU
This 89-nucleotide microRNA precursor is filed under the name Canis lupus familiaris (dog). Its description in RNAcentral is "mir-8799 microRNA precursor family". It matches the Rfam family "mir-8799 microRNA precursor family". The record is from Rfam by way of RNAcentral. RNAcentral also lists the same sequence under 1 other name. Lineage: Eukaryota; Metazoa; Chordata; Mammalia; Carnivora; Canidae.